UGCGGGCUGGUGUAAUUGGUAACACGUUGGAAUUUGGAUCCAAAGAUUCUAGGUUCGAGACCUAGGCCCGCAAC
Molecule: transfer RNA, 74 nt
Filed under: Bacillota bacterium
Lineage: Bacteria; Bacillati; Bacillota
Description: tRNA-Gln
Rfam family: tRNA
About the family: Transfer RNA (tRNA) molecules are approximately 80 nucleotides in length. Their secondary structure includes four short double-helical elements and three loops (D, anti-codon, and T loops). Further hydrogen bonds mediate the characteristic L-shaped molecular structure. tRNAs have two regions of fundamental functional importance: the anti-codon, which is responsible for specific mRNA codon recognition, and the 3' end, to which the tRNAs corresponding amino acid is attached (by aminoacyl-tRNA synthetases). tRNAs cope with the degeneracy of the genetic code in two manners: having more than one tRNA (with a specific anti-codon) for a particular amino acid; and 'wobble' base-pairing, i.e. permitting non-standard base-pairing at the 3rd anti-codon position.
Source: RNAcentral